Molecule: long non-coding RNA, 599 nt
Organism: Cyprinodon variegatus (sheepshead minnow)
Lineage: Eukaryota; Metazoa; Chordata; Actinopteri; Cyprinodontiformes; Cyprinodontidae
Exons: 3
Source: RefSeq, a predicted model, not a curated record
GCGCGCGAGAGAGAGUGUAUGAGCAGAGCUUCACAUGUGGGCUGCUGUGACUCGUCGGAGGAUGCUUGCCGGCUCUGUGCCUGCAAGGUCUCGCUGUUCCGAUCACCCAUCUGCCUUACUAAAGGGGACGGAGACAGAAGCAGGGCUGGAGGGACGCUGCUAAGAGAGGUGCAAUCGCCGCAAAGAUGUUUUUCUUAGACGCUCCAACAGACAGGAAUCUACUGGCAAGAAGAAAGCCCCGGUCUUCCCCGCGAGAGUACAAAGCCCCCCAGUCUGCACACAGCAGAUGCAGGAAAGCUAGUCCAUCUGCCACCAGCUUGCUGAGCCACAUGGGCCUGAGAGCUUUAAUGAAAGUGGGGAGGGGGGGACAUUUAUUUCUUUAUCUCCAAAGGUCUCUAUUAUUUACAUAAUAGAAAAAAAGUUUGGAACAAAAUCACUGCAUCCAUCACUGGAUAUACAAACAGAAAUAUCUAAUGCAUUUACAGCAUGAUUUAUUGUAAUUAUUGAAAACAAAAAAGAUUAAAGAAUUCCUACUGCUAGAAAAUUAUGUUAAAUUAAUAAAUUUUAUGGGAUUAUUACUUCUAACAAUAGCAAAUAAU